GUAAGGCCACCCACAGACCUCUACUAAGCAAUGAGGGGCUGUGGUCCCGGGAACCAGGCUGAUGAGCACGUAGUGGGUGCUGGGCAACGGGCUAAGUGCUUUCUGCAUACUAAACAAACCUAAGAAACCUCAGAUGAGGAAGCAGCCUGCUAAUGACUUUCUUCCAGUCCACCUGCGCAGAUGCUCGGAAGGACCAGAAUAACCCAUCAGUGAACUUUGGAUGUCACAGGCUAAAAAUCCACAUGUAACGCACAGAACCCUCCUCAAUGCGUACUGUGUCCCAUGAAGAGAUAGGAAAAACAGUCAUGCCCGCACAGAGGACUCUUGAAACUUCCCUUUACUCGUCCAAGAGGCAGUGCUUAGCUCCGACUCCCUCCUAUUCCCUACUCUCACGAUAAAUACCCUGCUCAAAAAGCUGAUGGGAGAGACAGAGCUGAGCUUUGCGUCCUGUCUCCUUGCUUGGCCUCCCUGUAAUAAAGGCUUUCAUCUCUACAAAAGACUGUUGUUUUGGUGUUUGGUCUUUCUGUUACGAGCCCACUUCCUCAAUUACAAGUGGGCCAGUGGGCGUGUGAACCCUGAUUCCAGGCCUGACCCUUAGCUCUGGACAGAUGGGGGCCUCUUGUCAGCAGUGCCUGGGAGGUACCUCUGUGGGGUGGGCACAGGUGGUGGUUUGCCCCUCUGCUUGUGUGGCUGGCAAGUCUGCAGGGCCCCCUUUCC
This is a long non-coding RNA of Bos taurus (domestic cattle), 717 nucleotides long. The record is from Ensembl. Lineage: Eukaryota; Metazoa; Chordata; Mammalia; Artiodactyla; Bovidae.